Molecule: ribosomal RNA, 465 nt
Filed under: Vreelandella stevensii
Lineage: Bacteria; Pseudomonadati; Pseudomonadota; Gammaproteobacteria; Oceanospirillales; Halomonadaceae
Description: partial 16S ribosomal RNA
Rfam family: Bacterial small subunit ribosomal RNA
Source: RNAcentral
CCUACGGUUGGCAGCAGUGGGGAAUAUUGGACAAUGGGGGCAACCCUGAUCCAGCCAUGCCGCGUGUGUGAAGAAGGCCCUCGGGUUGUAAAGCACUUUCAGUGAGGAAGAACGCCUGGUGGUUAAUACCCAUCAGGAAAGACAUCACUCACAGAAGAAGCACCGGCUAACUCCGUGCCAGCAGCCGCGGUAAUACGGAGGGUGCGAGCGUUAAUCGGAAUUACUGGGCGUAAAGCGCGCGUAGGUGGCUUGAUAAGCCGGUUGUGAAAGCCCCGGGCUCAACCUGGGAACGGCAUCCGGAACUGUCAAGCUAGAGUGCAGGAGAGGAAGGUAGAAUUCCCGGUGUAGCGGUGAAAAGCGUAGAGAUCGGGAGGAAUACCAGUGGCGAAGGCGGCCUUCUGGACUGACACUGACACUGAGGUGCGAAAGCGUGGGUAGCAAACAGGAUUAGAUACCCCAGUAGUC